UGUGCAACUAAUCAAUCACCUAUCUACUAGGAGUAAUAAUCAAGGUCAGUACGUCUAUCUUUGUUUCUUUCUUGCUUUCUUCUUCUCCUCCUUCUGCUUCUUUUUUAAAGUUUCACUUAAACUUAUUCGGAUUAGCUAUAACCUUUUAUAAAGAGAAUAAUUGGCUUAUAAUAUCAACACAUGUUGCUUCCUCACACAUGUUGCUUCCUGUUUAUCUUAGUUUUCUGUACAAAGCCAUCUAUUGAUUGGCAAAAACAACAUCUAUUGUGUGGCUGGCUGGUUUUUGCAUCUUUGGAACUUAAAUCAAUUAAUUAGUAAACUACGUUUCAGUUACAAACUAGUUGGGCUCAACUCCAUACUUCACUGGUGACCAUUUGUUUCAAUUGCUUACCAUUUGCUUUUUUUUCUUUUCUUUCUAAAUCCUCAUAGUAGACUCUCUAGAUUGAAGGCUUCUGUCAACUAGCUAUAGUUGAGCUUCUGUUAACUCUUCUCUCGUUUUCCCUUUGUUACAUUGGUCCCAAGAAAGAUUUAUAAGGGCAUUCUUCAAAAGGAUGCAAAAUUUGCCUUUUUUGUUGCUUAUGUUGUGUUUAACUAGUUUCAAUGUUUGAUAUGAAAAUAACUAACUGAACAGUUUGUUAAGCUGAAGAAAGUCAUCUGGUGAAACACUGUUACUGUGUCUGGAAGGAAGUGAAUAAGAGAAGUAUUAUAUAAGCUUUCGGCAAUGUGGUAAACUAAUGAAUUAGGAAAGAUUAAGAUAAUAUUAUUAGGUAUUAGUGGCUAGUUUUUUAAGUUGUGAAUUCCCAGUUUGGAAUUCUAUUAAAGUUUCUUUUGCAUUUUUUUCAAGAGAGCAAUAGGACUUAUGCUAUAACAUAAACACCAUCAAAAGAUUUGCAUGAUCUUCCUUUUCUGCUUCAGCAGCCCUCUUUAACUUGGCUUCGAUGUGUCACGCAUUUGUACUCUCGAUACGCAGCUUGCCAUAGGCAUUGAAUGAUUUCAUCUCAUCUGUGACCUUGACAAGGUCAACAGUUGGCUGCUCAUAGUAAUAGGCAUGUAUGAACCCUGGACCUGGGUGGCAGUAGCAAGUUCCUAUGCACUAGAAUCACCAGCCUUGACUUUCUUAGCACGCCUUGGGAAGAUGACAAGCUUAGCUUUGUAAGCUUAGUUGUUCCUGCGGCAAUGAUCAAUAGCAAUGCCAAUGGUUGGUGCUAGUUUCUUGGGAAUACCAGCUGCUUUCAGUUCUUCAAGAGAAAAUUCCCUCCCAACCCAGACUUUCAUGUUGUAUUUCAGUGUUUGUCCAUGAACAAUAGGUCGAAGUGAUCCCGCAGUUGGCCUAGGGAAGAUCUUCACAGCUUUCUACUGUCUAGCAGCACGUCUCCUUGUUUUCCUAGCUGGAUGGUUGAACCAAGUCCUUACAUAGUUUUGCCAAUGCUUCUUGAAGUGCCCAUUGGGUAUAACAUUGUUGUGCUUCAUCUCUUACCUGGUUAGCUACUACUUUUGGAGGCUUUGGGAGUACAGAGUCUUUUGCAUUCUUACAUGGAUUUAAAGACAAACAAUUACUUGUUGUCAUCUCUGACUUGUUUUUGAAAAACUUCGUGCUUUAAGAUUUUUACUGGAUAUAAGAUUGUUUCAUCCUAGCGAAAAGAACUGAAGACUUAGAGAUCGACAUUCUAGUACAUUUGAAGACUUUGUGCUUUAUGCAUUGUUUAUGGACCAUACCCAUUCUUAUAAUGAUAAACCAACUCUUGAAGGAUAAUGACUUUAUUUAUCCUCUUUUGUAGGUGGAGCAAUUGAAGAAAGGGAAGAUGGAGAUUGUGAAGAUCUAGACCUUACUUAAGAACUUUGAAUUGGUGUCCAUGUUCUAGAAAUCUUUUGUUAUCAACAUUUGAACUAACUCUUGAAGUGUUGAUGUAAAACUUAUGUGAUUGGGUUAAAAUAUUUUGGUGUUAUGGAGUAAGUGUUGAUGUAAAACUUAUGUGAUUGGGUUAAAUAUUUUGGUUUUAUGGAGAUAAUAUAGAUUAUGAAGUGUUUUAUCUUU
RNAcentral lists this long non-coding RNA (2035 nucleotides) under Nicotiana tabacum (common tobacco). Its description in RNAcentral is "long non-coding RNA (NTAB_LNC005194)". Lineage: Eukaryota; Viridiplantae; Streptophyta; Magnoliopsida; Solanales; Solanaceae. The record is from RNAcentral.